UUGGGCCGCUCCCGCGGCAUAUGGAGGUUCCCAGGCUAGGGGUCGAAUCGGAGCUGUAGCCACCGGCCUAUGCCAGAGCCACAACAACGCGGGAUCCGAGCCGCGUCUGCAACCUACACCACAGCUCACGGCAACGCCGGAUCCUUAACCCACUGAGCAAGGGCAGGGACCGAACCCGCAACCUCAUGGUUCCUAGUCGGAUUCAUUAACCACUGCGCCACGAUGGGAACUCCCCCUUAAUGUUUUUUGAAGAAAACUUUCUCAUCUCCAGCCCAACAAAAUCAACUGUUUGUGAGUUACAGUAUUGCUAAUAUUACAUUUUGCUUGCUAUGUAGAAGAGAAACUCCCUAGAUAUCAGUUUAUAAGUACUGAUUCUGCAAAAUGCAGUAAUUUAAGUUUCAUUUAUUUUACAGGGCACAUAAUAUAAUGCUGAAUUUGCAUCACAUAGAAACAUGGUUCAUUUAAAUAUCAAAUAUUCCGGAGAAGCAAAACAAUAUACAUGAUUCACUAAAUUUCUUCCUCACUAAAAUUAUGUUAUAAUUAAUCUUCAAAUAAUUUUUAAAAAGCAAGUGUAAAUAUCAAAUAUUUUGUAAUAAUAAGCAUAAUUUUAUUUAUAAUAGAAUCUUCCAUCAGUCUGCCAACCAAGGAGAUAAUUCUACUUUCUAGGAUAAUUUAUGGGAGAUGAAAUGGAUGCUAUAUCCAUAGAGCUGCAUGUGGGGGAUGCAAAUGUUAGUCUUACAUAUAAAAUUGACUAAGAUAUCAGACUGUCUCAAAGUAUGAUGGCAUUAUUUUGUUGCCAUUUACACUAAUUCUCAGAGAAAGUGAAAUUUUUCCCAUGGGUACACAUGAAGAUUAGCACCAAUGCAAUCAUUUCAGAAUGUCUUCCUUCAAAAAGUCACAGUGUGUUUAAGCUUCUGUUGUCUAAACUCCAUUUGUAUAUACACUAACUUGAGGCAAAUCCCAGUAUUUGGCUUGAAAUGAUACUUGCAAAAGCAAUCCUGAGGAAAAAGAGUACAAGGUUUAGGAAUAGUGAAUCAUGCAUGAAAAUCCAAAGCAUUUUCUUCUUCAUGUACCAUGUAUCUUUCAAAAUCUAAUGAUUAUGUAGCUUCAAAGGAAGUUGAAAUCUUAAAAACAAGUAUGACUUAGAAAUGGACUCACAGACAUAGAGAACAGACUUGUGGUUGCCAAGAGGGAGGGGAGAGGAAAUAGGAUGGAUGGGGAUUGUGGGCUUAGUAGAUGCAAAUGAUUACAUUUAGAACAGAUAAGCAAUGAGGUCCUACUGUACAGCACAGGGAACUAUGUCUAAGUUCUUGGGACGGAACAGGAUAGAAGAUAGUAUGAGAGAAAGAAUGCAUAUAUACAUGAGACUGGGUCACUGUGCUGUACCUCAGAAAUUGACACAACAAUGUAAAUCAAUUGUACUUUAAUAAAAAAAAGAAUAUGGCUUAAUAGGGAAAAUGGAAGGAAAUAUAGAAUUAGAUUUUAUAAAAAUAUAAACAGGGAAAUAAUUUAAUGCAGUAUAUUUGUAACUCCUCCUGUAGAGCCCAUUAAAAAUAUACUUGGCAGGACCUGAGCCAUAUCUGUGACCUACACACAGCUCAUGGCAAUGCCAGAUCCUUAACUCACUGAGCAAGGCCAGGGAUCAAACCCGCAACCUCAUGGUUCCUCGUCAGAUUCGUUAACCACUGAGCCAUGAGAGGAACUCCUCUUCAACUCUUCUAAGACAAGUACUGUGUUGAAUUUUAUAGAACCAGGAAUGACCAAGACAUGUACUAUGUCCUCAAGGUGCCAAAAAGAACAGAUAAAAAUUAAAUAAUUAUGAUGUGUAAUAAUAGUUUAAUGUACAAAGUAUAGAAUGAAAGCAUGGAAGGUAUAAUUAAGCAUCUAAAACUUAAUGAUAGGUUUUUUUAAUUAUUAUUUUUUGUCUUUUUAGGGCCACAGCUGCAGUGCAUGGAGAUUCCCAGGCUAGAGGACAAAUCAGAGCCAUAGCUGUGGGCCUAUGCACCACAGCCACACCAACUCAGGAUCCAAGCUGCAUCUGUGACCACAGCUCAGAGCAAUGCUGGAUCCUUAAUGCACUGGGUGAGGCCAGGGAUCAAGCCUGCAUCCUCAUGGUUCCUAGUUGGGUUCAUUAAACACUGGGCCACAACAGGAUCUGCAUGUGAUAGCUUCUCUAAAUUAAUUCUGGUGUCAUUGAAGGGAGGAGAGAGAACUAAAAAGUAAUCAAUUACUCAGACAAGAUUAAAUGAGUGCCUGGACUUUUAUAAGUCAGCAAGUAUUGAAAGCUGGGAUGGAGUUAUAGAUGAAUUAUGCUAUACCAGAGAAAUGGAAGAUAUCAAGAUAAUCUCCAACAUGCAUCACUCAGUGACACAUAACACAUUUAGUUGAACAUGAUAUAGAAGACAAAGCAAGUUGUGCAUGUAACUGAUCAUAGUGACUGUGUUAUUUACAUAUUAUUUGAAAGUCCCUUUAAUAUAUUCAGGUAGAAAUGUAAGCAAUUGGAGAUUAGAACCUGGAUCUAAAAAUGAUUUAUGAAGGAAUCAUUGAUAUACAUGCUUUAAAACUAUGAUACUCGAGUUCCUGUCGUGGUGCAGUGGUUAACGAAUCUGACUAGGAACCAUGAGGUUGUGGGUUCGAUCCCAGGCCUUGCUCAGUGGAUUAAAGAUCUGGUGUUUGCUGUAAAUUGCAGCAUAGGUUGUAGAUGUGGCUGAGAUCCAGUGCUGCCAUGGCCAUGGUAUAGACUGCAGCUGUGCCUCCAAUUUGACUCCUGGCCCAGGAACUUCCAUAUGUUUCAAGUGUAGCCAUAAAAGGAAAAAAAAAAUUAAUGAUACUUGAGAUUCUUAUCCAGCGUUGGGGUUUAAAGAUUUCUAGAUAGUUUAUGUUAAAUUAUGAAUGCACACGUGUAUUAUGAUUUAUCAUAUAUUAUGUUAUCUGGGAGUUUUUUUGGGGGGUUGUUGUUACUUGACUAGUUUAGCUGUGCCCUAGGUCACUCUAAGAAGACUUUCACCAGAGAUGUCUGACAGGAUUCAGACUGAAUGAGUCAAUUUCACUUCAGAGCUAAACAUAUUCAGACAGCCUGUUUAUAAAAUAAAAGUAAAAUUACUAAUAAUAAAAAAAAGAUUUCUAGAAAUAAAAAUAUAAUUACUGUUUAAGAAAUUUUUUAGACAGAAACCA
Molecule: long non-coding RNA, 3174 nt
Filed under: Sus scrofa (pig)
Lineage: Eukaryota; Metazoa; Chordata; Mammalia; Artiodactyla; Suidae
Description: lncRNA (ENSSSCG00065014628.1)
Source: RNAcentral